CCCUUAGAUGUCCUGGGCCGCACGCGUGCUACACUGACGCAUACAGCGAGUACUCCCGGCUCCGCAAUGGCAGCUGGUAAUCAUCAAUAUGCGUCGUGAUGGGGAUAGAUCUCUGGAAUUUUUGAUCUUGAACGAGGAAUGCCUAGUAAGCGCAGGUCAUCAGCCUGCGUUGAUUAAGUCCCUGCCCUUUGUACACACCGCCCGUCGCUCCUACCGAUUGAGUGGUCCGGUGAGGCUUUGGGAUCUGAGCGGAAAGAGCGUUUCGCUGUUUCUGCUCGGAAAACUCAGUCGAACCUUAUCAUUUAGAGGAAGGAGAAGUCGUAACA
RNAcentral lists this ribosomal RNA (326 nucleotides) under uncultured eukaryote. RNAcentral's name for it is "partial 18S ribosomal RNA". It matches the Rfam family "Eukaryotic small subunit ribosomal RNA", at positions 1470 to 1796 of the family's 1831-position model. The record is from RNAcentral.